This 468-nucleotide ribosomal RNA is filed under the name uncultured bacterium. RNAcentral describes it as "partial 16S ribosomal RNA". It matches the Rfam family "Bacterial small subunit ribosomal RNA", at positions 28 to 507 of the family's 1533-position model. The record is from RNAcentral.
GACGAACGCUGGCGGCGUGCUUAACACAUGCAAGUCGAACGGAAAGGCCCUGCUCUUGUGGGGUGCUCGAGUGGCGAACGGGUGAGUAACACGCGAGUAACCUGCCCUUGUCUUUGGGGUAACUCCAGGAAACUGGGGCUAAUACCGGAUAGGAUCUCUUGCUGCAUGGGGGGGGUUGGAAAGUUUCGGCGGUUGGGGAUGGACUCGCGGCUUAUCAGCUUGUUGGUGGGGUAGUGGCUUACCAAGGCUUUGACGGGUAGCCGGCCUGAGAGGGUGGCCGGCCACAUUGGGACUGAGAUACGGCCCAGACUCCUACGGGAGGCAGCAGUGGGGAAUAUGGCACAAUGGGCGGAAGCCUGAUGCAGCAACGCCGCGUGCGGGAUGACGGCCUUCGGGUUGUAAACCGCUUUCGCCUGUGACGAAGCGUGAGUGACGGUAAUGGGUAAAGAAGCACCGGCUAACUACGUG